RNAcentral lists this ribosomal RNA (468 nucleotides) under uncultured bacterium. Its description in RNAcentral is "partial 16S ribosomal RNA". It matches the Rfam family "Bacterial small subunit ribosomal RNA", at positions 28 to 507 of the family's 1533-position model. The record is from RNAcentral.
GACGAACGCUGGCGGCGUGCUUAACACAUGCAAGUCGAACGGAAAGGCCCUGCUUUUGUGGGGUGCUCGAGUGGCGAACGGGUGAGUAACACGUGAGUAACCUGCCCUUGACUUUGGGAUAACUUCAGGAAACUGGGGCUAAUACCGGAUAGGAGCUCCUGCUGCAUGGGGGUGGUUGGAAAGUUUCGGCGGUUGGGGAUGGACUCGCGGCUUAUCAGCUUGUUGGUGGGGUAGUGGCUUACCAAGGCUUUGACGGGUAGCCGGCCUGAGAGGGUGACCGGCGACAUUGGGACUGAGAUACGGCCCAGACUCCUACGGGAGGCAGCAGUGGGGAAUAUUGCACAAUGGGCGGAAGCCUGAUGCAGAAACGCCGCGUGCGGGAUGACGGCCUUCGGGUGGUAAACCGAUUUCGACUGUGACGAAGCGUGAGUGACGGUAAUGGGUCAAGAAGCACCGGCUAACUACGUG